RNAcentral lists this small nuclear RNA (136 nucleotides) under Lobosporangium transversale. RNAcentral describes it as "U4 spliceosomal RNA". It matches the Rfam family "U4 spliceosomal RNA". From Rfam's summary of the family: U4 small nuclear RNA (U4 snRNA) is a component of the major U2-dependent spliceosome. The structure of U4 snRNA from yeast and human has been reported. Lineage: Eukaryota; Fungi; Mortierellomycota; Mortierellomycetes; Mortierellales; Mortierellaceae. The record is from Rfam by way of RNAcentral.
AUCCUUGUGCAGGUGCAUGAAUUUACCAGUGAAGCUCCAGCUGAGGUCAAUUUAUUGCUGUUUGAAAACUUUCAUCCAUACCCCGUCUUCAUGGGAGCUUGCCUCUCAUGCGGCAAUUUUUGUAGGGUUCUCGGAC